GGUGCUUGCACCUGGUGGCGAGUGGCGAACGGGUGAGUAAUACAUCGGAACAUGUCCUGUAGUGGGGGAUAGCCCGGCGAAAGCCGGAUUAAUACCGCAUACGAUCUACGGAUGAAAGCGGGGGACCUUCGGGCCUCGCGCUAUAGGGUUGGCCGAUGGCUGAUUAGCUAGUUGGUGGGGUAAAGGCCUACCAAGGCGACGAUCAGUAGCUGGUCUGAGAGGACGACCAGCCACACUGGGACUGAGACACGGCCCAGACUCCUACGGGAGGCAGCAGUGGGGAAUUUUGGACAAUGGGCGAAAGCCUGAUCCAGCAAUGCCGCGUGUGUGAAGAAGGCCUUCGGGUUGUAAAGCACUUUUGUCCGGAAAGAAAUCCUUGGUUCUAAUAUAGCCGGGGGAUGACGGUACCGGAAGAAUAAGCACCGGCUAACUACGUGCCAGCAGCCGCGGUAAUACGUAGGGUGCGAGCGUUAAUCGGAAUUACUGGGCGUAAAGCGUGCGCAGGCGGUUUGCUAAGACCGAUGUGAAAUCCCCGGGCUCAACCUGGGAACUGCAUUGGUGACUGGCAGGCUAGAGUAUGGCAGAGGGGGGUAGAAUUCCACGUGUAGCAGUGAAAUGCGUAGAGAUGUGGAGGAAUACCGAUGGCGA
Molecule: ribosomal RNA, 648 nt
Filed under: uncultured beta proteobacterium
Lineage: Bacteria; Pseudomonadati; Pseudomonadota; Betaproteobacteria
Description: bacterial SSU rRNA
Rfam family: Bacterial small subunit ribosomal RNA
Source: RNAcentral